RNAcentral lists this microRNA (20 nucleotides) under Ciona intestinalis (vase tunicate). RNAcentral describes it as "cin-miR-4093-3p". Lineage: Eukaryota; Metazoa; Chordata; Ascidiacea; Phlebobranchia; Cionidae. The record is from miRBase by way of RNAcentral.
AUGCAACAAAACUGCGGUUA